GACGGGAGGAGCAAAUUUGGGUNGUGAAAUCCCUCGGCUUAAACNGNGGAACUGGCAACCAAAACNACUUUUUCUUGAGUGCAGGAGAGGAAAGCGGAAUUCNUAGUGUAGCGGUGAAAUGCGUAGAUAUUAGGAGGAACACCAGUGGCGAAGGCGGCUUUCUGGACUGUAACUGACGUUGAGGCACGAAAGUGUGGGGAGCAAACAGGAUUAGAUACCCCUGGUAGUCCACGCCNUAAACGAUGCGAACUGGAUGUUGGGUGCAAUUUGGCACGCAGUGUCGAAGCUAACGCAUUAAGUUCNCCGCCUGGGGAGUACGGUCGCAAGACUGAA
This 333-nucleotide ribosomal RNA is filed under the name uncultured rumen bacterium jw11RRI. RNAcentral's name for it is "partial 16S ribosomal RNA". It matches the Rfam family "Bacterial small subunit ribosomal RNA", at positions 571 to 898 of the family's 1533-position model. Lineage: Bacteria; Pseudomonadati; Bacteroidota. The record is from RNAcentral.